Anas platyrhynchos (mallard) is the source of this 525-nucleotide non-coding RNA. NCBI's taxonomy places the organism in Eukaryota, Metazoa, Chordata, Aves, Anseriformes, Anatidae. The record is from RefSeq and is a predicted model, not a curated record.
GGAUACCAGCUGAGGAAUAUCAAGAACAAUUCACAGGACACCCAUGGCAGAGCCUUCUACAAACAUGCUGUCACAUUAACUCCUCUGUUCCUCCCAUUACUCCAAGUUUCAGAGUAAAGAACGGCCGGAACAUUUGGUGGAGAGCACUGCCAUGAUUUGUACAGAAUUCCCGUCACAGGGGUGGCUUGACACAGCAGAAGCACUUCUAACUUUGGGAUAUUACUGCUACCACCUGACUGCCAAAUCUAAGGACCCCAGGUGAUGACCACUGCUGGUGACACAGGCUCCAGGGGUCUUAUUCCACCCUGCUCCUCAGAAAUGGACAUAAUCGGAGAAAACAGCACCAGAACUGAUCUCUUUCACCGCAUGAUGACGUAGAACAAAGCUCACGAUGUUGUGUGACCUCAAGGAAGAUCAGGUCAGGACUGACACAUUCUAUCAUUUUCCUUCCUGAUAUAACAUUUUCUUGGUGAAGCAUUUUUUUUCUCCUUGUUUUGCUUUCUUCUUCAUGUAUCUAGACAAAAU